This 784-nucleotide ribosomal RNA is filed under the name uncultured Glomus. RNAcentral's name for it is "SSU rRNA". It matches the Rfam family "Eukaryotic small subunit ribosomal RNA", at positions 328 to 1114 of the family's 1831-position model. The record is from RNAcentral. Lineage: Eukaryota; Fungi; Glomeromycota; Glomeromycetes; Glomerales; Glomeraceae.
GUAGGAUAGAGGCCUACCAUGGUGGUAACGGGUAACGGGGUGUUAGGGCACGACACCGGAGAGGGAGCCUGAGAAACGGCUACCACAUCCAAGGAAGGCAGCAGGCGCGCAAAUUACCCAAUCCCGACACGGGGAGGUAGUGACAAUAAAUAACAAUACAGGGUUCUUUUGGAUCUUGUAAUUGGAAUGAGUACAAUUUAAAUCUCUUAACGAGGAACAAUUGGAGGGCAAGUCUGGUGCCAGCAGCCGCGGUAAUUCCAGCUCCAAUAGCGUAUAUUAAAGUUGUUGCAGUUAAAAAGCUCGUAGUUGGAUUUCGGGAUCAAGGAAUCGGUCAUGCCUUGGUAUGUACUGGUUUUAUUGGUUCUCACCUUCUAAAGAACCAUAAUGUCAUUCAUUUGAUGUUAUGGGGAAUUAGGACUGUUACCUUGAAAAAAUUAGAGUGUUUAAAGCAGGCUUACGCUUGAAUACAUUAGCAUGGAAUAAUGAAAUAGGACAUCAGAUUCUAUUUUGUUGGUUUCUAGGAUCGAUGUAAUGAUUAAUAGGGAUAGUUGGGGGCAUUAGUAUUCAAUUGUCAGAGGUGAAAUUCUUGGAUUUAUUGAAGACUAACUACUGCGAAAGCAUUUGCCAAGGAUGUUUUCAUUAAUCAAGAACGAAAGUUAGGGGAUCGAAGACGAUCAGAUACCGUCGUAGUCUUAACCAUAAACUAUGCCGACUAGGGAUCGGAUGAUGUUAAUUUUAUAAUGACUCAUUCGGCACCUUACGGGAAACCAAAGUGUUUGGGUUC